UUUGGAAACAGUGGAUUG
Molecule: small nuclear RNA, 18 nt
Filed under: Arabidopsis thaliana (thale cress)
Lineage: Eukaryota; Viridiplantae; Streptophyta; Magnoliopsida; Brassicales; Brassicaceae
Description: snRNA_19105
Source: RNAcentral